UAUUUUAAAGAGAGUUUGAUCCUGGCUCAGGACGAACGCUGGCGGCGUGCCUAAUACAUGCAAGUCGAACGAACGGAGGAAGAGCUUGCUCUUCCAAAGUUAGUGGCGGACGGGUGAGUAACACGUGGGCAACCUGCCUGUAAGUUGGGGAUAACUCCGGGAAACCGGGGCUAAUACCGAAUGAUAAAGUGUGGCGCAUGCCACGCUUUUGAAAGAUGGUUUCGGCUAUCGCUUACAGAUGGGCCCGCGGUGCA
Molecule: ribosomal RNA, 254 nt
Filed under: Listeria monocytogenes
Lineage: Bacteria; Bacillati; Bacillota; Bacilli; Caryophanales; Listeriaceae
Description: partial 16S ribosomal RNA
Rfam family: Bacterial small subunit ribosomal RNA
Source: RNAcentral